Molecule: ribosomal RNA, 410 nt
Filed under: uncultured bacterium
Lineage: Bacteria
Description: bacterial SSU rRNA
Rfam family: Bacterial small subunit ribosomal RNA
Source: RNAcentral
GAUGAACGCUAGCGGGAGGCUUAAUACAUGCAAGUCGAGCGGCAAGUUUUGAUAGCAAUAUUGGAACCUAGAGCGGCGCACGGGUGAGUAACGCGUACAUGACCUGCCCUAUACUGGGGGAUAGUCUUGGGAAACUGAGAAUAAUCCCGCAUGUGAUUAGAAUGCUGCAUGGCAAAUUAAUUAAAGCUGAGGCGGUAUAGGAUGGGUGUGCGUCUGAUUAGCUAGUUGGUAGUGUAACGGACUACCAAGGCGAUGAUCAGUAGGGGGCGUGAGAGCGUGACCCCCCACACGGGUACUGAGACACGGACCCGACUCCUACGGGAGGCAGCAGUAAGGAAUAUUGGUCAAUGGAGGGAACUCUGAACCAGCCAUCCCGCGUGAAGGAUGAAGGGGCUCUGCCUUGUAAACUU